RNAcentral lists this ribosomal RNA (254 nucleotides) under uncultured bacterium. RNAcentral describes it as "partial 16S ribosomal RNA". It matches the Rfam family "Bacterial small subunit ribosomal RNA", at positions 524 to 776 of the family's 1533-position model. The record is from RNAcentral.
UACGGGGGAUCCAAGCGUUAUCCGGAAUAACUGGGCGUAAAGCGUUGCGUAGGCGGCAUGUCAAGCGAAGUGUGAAAUCAUGUGGCUCAACCAUGUGGCUAUGCUUUGAACUGGCAAGCUAGAGAGUGAGAGAGGUUACUGGAAUUACUAGUGUAGGAGUGAAAUCCGUAGAUAUUAGUAGGAACACCGAUGGCGUAGGCAGGUAACUGGCUCAUUUCUGACGCUCAGGCACGAAAGCGUGGGGAGCAAACGGG